UGUUAGUUAGCAUGAAAGGUUCGGAUCAUGUGAUCACGACCUGACAGCUUGCAUGCAUGUAGUUGUUGAGGUUAGUUUGGAUUAGGUUAGUCUAUCCAUGCGGAUCAGGUUAGCCUUUCCUCCACAUGCGAUAACAGAUGUUUGUUAGAGUUUGUUUUCUGUUUUCUGUUACUGCAUGCAGUCGUUUCAUCAAUCUCGGCUUCGGUUGUUCUCAGCUGCGCCGAACUCUGUAUCGCCACGAUGGGGGCUGUUCCCAUCACAUAUAUAUUAACACGAAGGCGACGCACAGGAUUAGUGCGAUCGUUUCCACCCAAACUAAUUCACAUGGUAUCAGAGCGUUGAUCAAUUCCCUAAGAGAUCAAUACUCAUGGCCUUGUCGUCCAGUACGGCUGCCACAAAUCCGUUCCAAGGCCACCCAAUCUCAGAGAAGCUUGGGAGGGCAAAUCAUGCGCUCUGGAAGGUGCAAGUAAGCGCCGCAGUCAGAGGAGCGCGGCUUCAGGGGCAUCUCACCGGCGCAACCAAGCGGCCGCCGGCAGAGAUCGCUGUCACAAAAGAUGGCGCCACCAAGAAGGAGCCGAACCCAGCCCAUGAAGACUGGGAAGCCACCGACCAGCAAGUUCUGGGGUACCUUCUCUCGUCGCUGACAAGAGAGGUGCUGAUGCAGGUCGCUACAUGCGACACCGCGGCUGAAGUGUGGAGCGCCAUUGAGCAGAUGUACUCCACCCACACACGAGCAAGAGCGAUUAACACUCGGUUUGCUCUCACCAAUACAAAGAAAGGUAACAUGUCAACUCCUGAGUAUUUUGCAAAAAUGAAAUCCUUAGGAGAUGAGAUGGCUACUGCCGGAGGUCGCCCAAUCGAUGAAGAGGAGCUGAUUCAGUAUAUCAUCACCGGCCUUGGCGAGGGCUACAGCGAGGUGGUGUCGGCUGUCUACGCUCGGGUUGAACCAAUCUCUGUGAGUGAUCUGUACUCUCAAGUGUUGAACUUUGAAGCUCGCCAAGCCAUCUACCGCGGCGCACAGGAGGUCACCGUCAAUGUUGUCAACCGUGGAGGCUUCAGCCACGGGGGGCGUGGCAACAGCAAUGGUGGCCAAGGAGGUUCGCGCGGCGGCGGCGACGGCGGCGGCCAUGGUCGCGGCAACGGAGGAGGUGGCCGUGGUCGAGGCCGCACACCAGGAGGCGUUGAUAAAAGACCAAUUUGCCAAGUGUGUUUCAAACGGGGGCACACGGCAGCAGAUUGUUGGUAUAGGUACGACGAGGAUUACGUUCCUGACGCCAAGCAUGUUGCAGCUGCAGCGGUUAACUCCUAUGGAAUUGACACAAAUUGGUACAUCGACACUGGUGCUACAGAUCAUGUCACGGGAGAGCUAGACAAGCUCACUAUGAAGGAAAAAUACAACGGUGGUGAACAAAUCCACACAGCAAGUGGUGCAGGUAUGGAUAUUAGUCAUAUUGGUCAUGCUAUUGUUCAUAAUCCCAAUAGUCGUAAUAUCCACCUUAGAAAUGUUUUAUAUGUGCCUCAAGCUAAGAAAAAUCUUGUUUCAGUACAUCGCUUAGUUAAUGAUAACUCUGCCUUUCUUGAAUUACAUCGUGAUUAUUUCUUUCUUAAGGAUCAAAUCACCAGGAAAACUCUCCUUAAGGGAAGAUCAUGGCGCAGGCUAUAUCCUCUACCACACUCCUCCUUGAAGCAAGCCUACAGUGCCAUCAAACUAUCUUUGGACCGGUGGCAUCAUCGUCUUGGUCAUCCUUCCAUUACCACGGUUAAACAAGUAGUCAAUAAGUUUAGCCUCCCCUGUUCAGAUUUGUCUAGUGAGUCAGUUUGUAAUGCUUGUCAACAAGCAAAGAGUCAUCAAUUACCUUUUCCUAUUUCUUCCAGUGUUUCCAAACACCCCUUAGAACUUGUCUUUUCUGAUGUUUGGGGACCUGCUCCAGAGUCUGUUGGGAGAAAAAAAUAUUAUGUUAGUUUUAUUGAUGAUUUUAGUAAAUUUACUUGGAUUUAUCUCAUACAACAUAAGUCUCAAGUGUUUGACAAGUUUCAGGAGUUUCAAGUCAUGGUAGAACGUCAAUUUGAUAGAAAAAUUCUAGCCAUGCAAACUGACUGGGGAGGCGAAUAUCAAUCCCUUAACUCUUUUUUUUCUAAGAUUGGCAUUGUUCAUCAUGUUUCCUGUCCUCAUACUCACCAACAGAAUGGGUCGGCUGAGAGAAAACAUCGUCAUAUAGUUGAGAUCGGUUUAUCUCUCCUAUCUCAUGCAUUCAUGCCAUUAAAGUUUUGGGAUGAAGCCUUUCAGGCGGCAACUUAUCUUAUUAACCGUGUGCCUAGCAGAGUUAUCCAUAAUAUUAGUCCCCUUGAAAAACUGUUCAAACAAAAACCCGAUUACUCCUCCUUGAGAAUUUUUGGUUGUGCCUGUUGGCCUAAUCUUCGCCCCUACAAUAACCACAAAUUACAAUUUCGCUCUAAGCAUUGUGUUUUUCUUGGGUUUAGCACUAUGCAUAAAGGGUUCAAGUGUCUUGAGGUCUCUACAGGACGCAUCUAUAUUUCUCGCGAUGUUGUCUUUGAUGAGAAUAUUUUUCCCUUCACUGAACUUCAUGCCAAUGCUGGUGCCCGUCUUCGUUCUGAGAUUGAUAUUCUCACUCCUGAACUGCUAGGACCCAUACGGUCUGUUGGGAAUGAACAAUGCAUGCAUCCAGUGACUAAUCCAUUAUCUGCUGAUGUUUCUGCUGCUUUAUCUAAUCGUGCUAAUGAGCCACAUAGAGAUGGUGCAGUACAUCCCGCUGAUGCAGAAGAUCCGCCGGCGACGCCUCCUCUGGAUGCCAGUUCUGGUCCAGAACCAGACCGUGUCGUCCACCACUCCCCUGCGGCCACGUCAUCAGGCCGUCAUCCGGGUCCCACACCUGGUUCUGUGCCACGGGGGGCAGCAUCAUCGCUAGCAGAGGAGACAGCAGAAGACUCAGUGUCGCAGGCGGUGCAGGAGCAGGAGUCGCAGGUGGUGCAGGAGCAGGAGCAGUCCUCACCAGCGCAGGAACAUGCACAGGCUGUCACAGAUGAGACUAAUACAUUACAGCAUGCAGAUGUGACUGACACAGGUUCAGAGGCACCGGCAGGACCGCGCACCAGGUUGCAAAGUGGAGUUCGCAAGGAAAAGGUAUAUACUGAUGGUACUAUUAAAUAUAAGCAUUCUUGGUUUACUGCUUCAGGUGAACCUACAAAUGAUUUAGAAGCCUUAAAGGAUAAAAAUUGGAAACUAGCAAUGGAUUCAGAGUAUGAUGCUUUAGUUAAGAAUAAAACUUGGCAUCUUGUUCCUCCUCAGAGAGGGAGAAAUAUUAUUGGCUGUAAGUGGGUGUAUAAAAUUAAAAGGAAAGCUGAUGGUACCCUAGAUAGGUAUAAGGCAAGGUUAGUAGCAAAAGGAUUUAAACAGAGGUAUGGUAUUGAUUAUGAAGAUACCUUUAGCCCUGUUGUUAAAGCUGCCACUAUCAGAAUAAUAUUGUCUUUAGCAGUGUCUAAAGGUUGGAGUCUUAGACAGCUAGAUGUUCAAAAUGCCUUUCUGCAUGGGUACCUAGAAGAAGAAGUUUAUAUGCUACAGCCACCAGGUUUUGAGGAUCCUACUAAGCCACAUCAUGUGUGUAAACUUGAUAAAGCUCUGUAUGGGUUAAAACAGGCACCUAGAGCCUGGUUCUCUAGACUAAGUAAAAAGUUGAUGGACCUUGGUUUUAAAGGAUCAAAAGCUGAUACGUCUCUGUUCUUUCUGAAUAAAGGUGAUAUAACUAUGUUUGUUCUGGUAUAUGUUGAUGAUAUCAUUGUAGCCAGCUCUUCAGAGAGGGCCACUGCAGCUUUACUUCAGGAUCUAAAAGGGGAAUUUGCACUCAAAGAUCUUGGUGAGCUGCAUUAUUUUCUCGGAAUAGAGGUAAGCAAGGUUCAGAAUGGCAUUGUACUGAAUCAAGACAAGUAUGCCAAUGAUUUAUUGAAGAAAGUGGGCAUGAUAGAUUGUAAACCUGCUAAUACACCUCUUUCAGUAAGUGAGAAACUCUCUCUUCAUGAAGGCUCAUUGUUAGGGCCUGAAGAUGCAAGUCACUAUCGCAGUGUUGUUGGUGCUUUGCAAUAUUUGACUCUUACUAGACCUGACAUAGCUUUCUCUGUUAAUAAAGUUUGCCAAUACUUGCAUGCUCCCACAACUGUACAUUGGAUUGCUGUGAAAAGGAUUCUUAGGUACUUAAAGCAAUGCACUCGGUUAGGACUUGAAAUUCAUAAGUCAGGAUCUACUUUAGUUAGUGGCUUCUCUGAUGCAGACUGGGCAGGCUGUUUAGAUGACAGAAGAUCAACAGGAGGAUUUGCAAUAUUUCUGGGUUCAAAUCUGGUCUCCUGGAAUGCUAGAAAACAAGCCACUGUGUCUAGAUCUAGCACAGAGUCAGAAUACAAAGCUAUUGCCAAUGCCACUGCAGAAAUAAUGUGGGUGCAGACUUUACUUGCAGAGUUAGAGAUUAAAAGUCCAAAAGCUGCUAAAAUAUGGUGUGAUAAUCUUGGAGCUAAGUAUUUGUCAGCUAAUCCAGUGUUUCAUGCCAGAACGAAACACAUAGAAGUUGACUAUCACUUUGUCAGAGAACGGGUAAGUCAGAAACUUCUAGAAAUUGAUUUUGUUUCCACUAAUGAUCAAGUUGCAGAUGGAUUCACUAAACCUCUGUCAGUAAGACUCCUGGAGAAUUUCAAAAGCAAUCUGAACCUGGUUAGGUCCGGAUUGAGAGAGGGUGUUAGUUAGCAAGAAAGGUUCGGAUCAUGUGAUCACGACCUGACAGCUUGCAUGCAUGUAGUUGUUGAGGUUAGUUUGGAUUAGGUUAGUCUAUCCAUGCGGAUCAGGUUAGCCUUUCCUCCACAUGCGAUAACAGAUGUUUGUUAGAGUUUGUUUUCUGUUUUCUGUUACUGCAUGCAGUCGUUUCAUCAAUCUCGGCUUCGGUUGUUCUCAGCUGCGCCGAACUCUGUAUCGCCACGAUGGGGGCUGUUCCCAUCACAUAUAUAUUAACACGAAGGCGACGCACAGGAUUAGUGCGAUCGUUUCCACCCAAA
RNAcentral lists this long non-coding RNA (5055 nucleotides) under Oryza sativa (Asian cultivated rice). Its description in RNAcentral is "long non-coding RNA (OSAT_LNC001111)". The record is from RNAcentral. Lineage: Eukaryota; Viridiplantae; Streptophyta; Magnoliopsida; Poales; Poaceae.